UACGGGGGGGGCAAGCGUUGUUCGGAAUCACUGGGCGUAAAGGGCGUGUAGGCGGUCAGGUAAGUGGGAUGUGAAAUGCCCCGGCUCACCCGGGGACCGGCAUCCCAUACUGCUUGGCUUGAGUACGGGAGAGGAUGUGGGAAUUCCUGGUGUAGCGGUGAAAUGCGUAGAUAUCAGGAGGAACACCGGUGGCGAAGGCGCACAUCUGGCCCGAUACUGACGCUGAGGCGCGAAAGCUAGGGGAGCAAACGGG
This 253-nucleotide ribosomal RNA is filed under the name uncultured bacterium. RNAcentral describes it as "partial 16S ribosomal RNA". It matches the Rfam family "Bacterial small subunit ribosomal RNA", at positions 524 to 776 of the family's 1533-position model. The record is from RNAcentral.